Long non-coding RNA from Equus caballus (horse), 1792 nucleotides. The record is from Ensembl. NCBI's taxonomy places the organism in Eukaryota, Metazoa, Chordata, Mammalia, Perissodactyla, Equidae.
AUACGCAAACGCUGAGGUCUGGGCAGGACAGCAAGAUCCGGGACCAGAUUUCUGACUCAGUUUAUUUCGUGUCUGAAUAACUUUCAGUGUUGGGGGGAGACUUCAAAACCAUAACGUCUCCAGGGAGCUCUCGCCUUGUGCUUCUAACGCUAACCACGUUAGGCUGUCUGUCUUUCCUCCAAGGGCCGGAGUUCAUGGAAGCUCUUCUCAGUAGUCACAGCACUGCUAUUCCGAGGGAAUAAAACAGAGAAAUUGGAUUCAGAUCAAUACGACCUUCUUCACCACCAAGUUCCGCCACACUUUCUUUAAGUAAGGAGCUCACGCUGCAUCUUAUGAAGGCCCAUCCAUGGGGCCCCUCCGCACAUGGCCAGUCGUGGGAAUGAAACAGUGGGGAUGAGGGGUCUCUCAUCUCCUGGCACCUCUGAAGAUCAAACUCCUCGCAGUGGCUGCAGUGAGAGCCCAGCUGUAGUUUUCUCAUCUGCAUACUUAGCAGGUAACUGUCGGGGCUGACACAAGCCCAAAGGGAAGACCUCGGACUUCACGACGUCCUUUUACGCUGGUUGUCAGCAGCCCUGACCUCAGCGGAGGCGGGAGCCGCCCUGGAGGAGAUCCCAGAUUGUCGCAGAUACUCGACCACUCUCCCUGCCAGCGCCUUGCUCCACUGUGGGACAGCCGGAGUGUUUCUUCUAGAAUGUAUGCCACAGUCCAUCAUCCCUCUGACCAUCGCCCUCCAGGGGCUUCAGUCCUCGCCAAGACUUCUAAGACCCUCAAUAAGCAGUAAGGCUCUUCGGCACUCGCUCUGCUCUGUGAAGAGAGGAUACAGCAGAAACAAUGCCUCCCCUGAAGAAGACCCAUCUUCUCUACCUUUGGUAAGAAACAUGUAAACAGGUGCCUCAAGUCAUCUGGGAAUAUUAUCGACAAUGUAAUUCUUGGAGUAAAAUUUGAAACUUACGUAUGACUUUCCCUGUAACCUCCAAAAUCUUUUCAAUGGUGGAAGCAGAAUGUCUUCCUUAUUUCCACUACGAAAUAACAACAAAAAACCCUGACAAUUAUUCCUGAAAUAUGUGCUUUGUUUAAACACAAGGUGUACAGUGAACACAGUUUUAUCAGCGCUCUUGGACAAGAUUCCAAUAUGCUGUUUCUGCAAGGAAAAAUAAGCCCACUUUACAACUAAUCUCUGGGACUUCGAUAGCUAAAUAAUCAUGGAAUCGGCAUUCAGGUCUUUGGGCACCCACUUCCCAUGCACUUCCUUGAGGCUAUAGUCUCGGUAAUUGAAUUGAGAGAUGAAAAACGUGAACCCAACCUCGACAGAUCAAGCUGACCUGAAACAGUAUGCAUGGCAAUAUCAUUAUAUUCGAGGGCCAAAGGAAACUUGUGUGCUGGUUGUUUUCCUCUAAACCUGACUGUUUUGAUGGAGUCAUUGCUGUAAAUCCUGUGUGUAAUAAAACACGGAGUUUUGGGGUUCUCUUCAGAACAGAGAUCAUAUAAGUUUCAAAGUCUAAAUUGGGCAGCUAAGUGAAAUCCUGUCUGUCAUCAGAUGAAUGUGGCAGUUGGAGUUCCAGCACUUACGGCCAACAACUUCAGGUGAGCGCUUCUGAAUCACAGGGAAGACCCAUGUGGGCAGGCACGCUGUUGGGUUUCAAGAGAAGGGGAUUGUAACAUAUUUGCACACAACAUGAAAAAUAAACGUUAGAUUACAGAUAUAAUACUUAACAGGUAUUUCACUUCUGAAAAGGAAUCAAAAAUAGAUGUUAACUGGCAGUGAAUAUAACAACUAAAUACCACAUUUUGG